This is a long non-coding RNA of Cephus cinctus (wheat stem sawfly), 1065 nucleotides long. RefSeq lists it as uncharacterized. The transcript is spliced from 3 exons. The record is from RefSeq and is a predicted model, not a curated record. NCBI's taxonomy places the organism in Eukaryota, Metazoa, Arthropoda, Insecta, Hymenoptera, Cephidae.
AAAAGAGAAGCGCGUGCCACGUGCCGAUCGGCGAUCCUGUAUCUUCAGUCCCGAGUCGACCGAUUCAAAAUGGUCCAGCAGCAUCCGUGACGCGCAGGACACGUUGGAUGGUCCGCUGGAGCGAGCUGCAAGGAGAUGCUGCGCUAAUCGUGGGAUGACGUGGUGGAGCAGCGAAGGCAGUGAUAAAAGACGGCAGGGGACAACGCAACGGAGACCAAGUAUCCUGAUCUGAAUGAAGGACGCCUGGUGCAUUCUAGGCAGGCAAAAACUGCAAAAACUGCACUAGGAAACCACGCCCUGGCCGACUUGUGUAUCCUCAGGGACAUUUCACCGGCACUCGCAAUGCUAAACUGCCAGAUCAGGGGAGAGAGACGCAGACGACAGGUCAAGUAAAGAGAAGGCAAGGCAGGACAAGACAAACUGAACCAAGACAAGACGAGCCGAGGGAGGACUCCUGAGAAGCCGAGACAAGUCAGUGAGUGAGUGAGUGAGUGAAUGCGUGCGUGAAGGCCUCAAGAAGAGAGAAGAGAGGAAGAGAGGACGAGAUGAGGGAUAAAAGAGAAGAAGAUGGAGUGGAGGGAGGAGAGAUGAUGCAGUUGUGCGUUUGCAAGGAAGGCGGAAGGAGGAACUGCGGAGGGAACCGGUCCCGGUCACUGGGCCACCAGGAGGCCGUCGAACUCGCCACUCUGUCCCUUCCCCUUCCACGGGUUCGUCCCUCUUUCCGUUCCUCCCGGCUUCCCACCUUCAACUCUGCCAUCGUUCUUGCUCAGCUUUAGGCCAGCUCUGCCUCAACUUCUUCAAACAAUGUCAGUCUUUAUGGGCAAGAACGACAAUACCAGUCGAUACCUGCUGAUAUCUUGGGACCAAGAGCUACCUCACGACUAUCUUUCUACUAAGUCAUUUCGCGGCUGAAUCUUCGUCACACUUCUUAUAAUUCCUCCUGAUAAAGAAUACCAAAAAGAAAUCUCUACUUUUUCAACGUGGAUCUUGUGAAUACUUCACUUUGAUUAAAACGUUGAAAUUUUUCUUUCGCCAUUCUAACUGCGUCCAUUAGCUUUUCUUAUU